RNAcentral lists this ribosomal RNA (644 nucleotides) under uncultured marine eukaryote. Its description in RNAcentral is "SSU rRNA". It matches the Rfam family "Eukaryotic small subunit ribosomal RNA", at positions 616 to 1272 of the family's 1831-position model. The record is from RNAcentral.
CAGUUAAAAAGCUCGUAGUUGGAUUUUGGUUAAGAGGGCGCGGUCGGCCGUUUGGUCUGUACUGCGUUGUCUUGACUUCCUGAUGAGGACAUGCUCUUGGUUAACGCUGAGACAUGGAGUCAUCGUGGUUACUUUGAAAAAAUUAGAGUGUUCAAAGCGGGCUUACGCUUGAAUAUAUUAGCAUGGAAUAACACUAUAGGACUCCUGUCCUAUCUCGUUGGUCUCGGGAUGGGAGUAAUGAUUAAGAGGAACAGUUGGGGGCAUUCGUAUUUCAUUGUCAGAGGUGAAAUUCUUGGGUUUAUGAAAGACGAACUUCUGCGAAAGCAUUUGCCAAGGAUGUUUUCAUUAAUCAAGAACGAAAGUUGGGGGCUCGAAGAUGAUUAGAUACCAUCCUAGUCUCAACCAUAAACGAUGCCGACUAGGGAUUGGUGGAUGUUAAUUGAUGACUUCACCAGCACCUUAUGAGAAGUCAAAGUUUUUGGGUUCCGGGGGGAGUAUGGUCGCAAGGCUGAAACUUAAAGGAAUUGACGGAAGGGCACCACCAGGCGUGGAGCCUGCGGCUUAAUUUGACUCAACACGGGGAAACUUACCAGGUCCAGACAUAAGUAUGAUUGACAGAUUGAGAGCUCUUUCUUGAUUCUAUG